Molecule: long non-coding RNA, 756 nt
Filed under: Astyanax mexicanus (Mexican tetra)
Lineage: Eukaryota; Metazoa; Chordata; Actinopteri; Characiformes; Acestrorhamphidae
Description: lncRNA (ENSAMXG00005015599.1)
Source: RNAcentral
GUAACAUUAGUGUUUUAUUAGUUAUGUGAUUUCUGGUUACAUUGUUGUUGUUGUUGUUUUUGUUUGUUUGUUUUGUUUUUGUUACUUUUUUGUUAUUUGGCGGCCGCGGUAAUUUUUAAAAGUAUCCCAAAAAAACGCACCCAGCCACCCCUAAAUUUUCACCUGCGACUGGAUUUUUUAAACAAGCCCAACUGGGCGGAAAAACCGCGAACCUGGCAACUCUGCUCUCAGAGAAGGAGAAGAAGGGAGAGAGGAGGCGGUUGUUUCUCCUUCACUCCACCCACUCCUCCAAUACAGGCGAAGCAGCAGCACUCCUCCUAAGUUCUCGAGGUUGUAUGAAAUCACUGUAUAGAGGUCAGCUAAGAAGACUAGAUCCUUCCAGAAAACUGAAAACCAAAUGUGCAUAGCUAACAAGGCUGGUUUUGCACCUACUUUGCACAUCAGAGGAUGUAACAACACUGCCCAACAACACUCCAGUGGCAGACCCUGGUUUAUGACACCCCACAGUUGGGUAAGUACCACACUGCACCAAUAAGGUUCUAUCCCUUGAUUCUGAUUCAAAUGCUCGUCACUCUUUACAAGAGUUUCAGCCAUCCAUCCAUCUGUCUAAUUAUCCACUUCUUCCUGAUCAGGGUCACAGUGGGUCCAGGCCUAUCCAGAAUUAGUAGACGCAUGGCAGGAAUACCCUCUGGUCCAUCACAGGUAAAUCAUAAAGGGCCAACAGAGCAGCUUAUUAACGCCGGAGAAUGAGGCGAC